UUUUUUGUUCAGAGGUUUGAGGAUAGCAUAUAUUAACAUAUUGAAGUUAUUACAGGCAAAUCCCUAUAAAUUCACACAUCAUUUUAUAUACAUGGUACUAUGGAUAGACCACAACUAUAAUGUGUUAACUCUCCUAUCAGUAAUCCACAAAUAUUUUAAUCCUUCAGAUCCUCUAAAGUUCAACUUAAGUACCAAUUUCUUCACAAAUUAAUUCAAAACCACUUCAGUUAAUAGUGUUCAUUCCCUUUCCUAAGCACUCCUAGUACUUAGAGUGUAAACUAAUUUUUAUACAAGGACAUAUCGGAAGUACUAUUUAUUUAAAUUUAUUUUAGAGAUGGCAUCUUGCUUUGUUGCCCAGGCUGGGGUACUGUAGCAGGAUCAUAGCUCACUGAUGGUACAAAUUCCUGAGCUCAAGAGAUCCUCCUGCCUUAGCCUCUCAAGUAGGUGGGACCAACUGCAGGCAAGUGCCACAUCACCCAGCUAAUUUUUAAAUUUUUUGUAGAGAUGGAGUCUCACUACCUUGCCCAGACUUGUCUUGAAUUCCUGGGCUUACGUGAUCCACGUGCCUCAGCCUCCCAAAGUGCUGGGAUCACAGGCCUGAGCCACCUGCCUGGCCCCAGAAGUAUUCUUAAAAGAGAAUUAAUCUGGAUCUCAGAAUAUUCCAUUAUGGACAAGAUAUCAACCAAUGACUGAAGAUUGCUAUCAAAUUGAAAUAUGGAGGAGUAGCAAAGAAUUUUAAAAGAAUUCUAUCACAUGUGUAAUGAAACAAGUAACGAAGUUUAAAGCAGCUAUAUCCAUGAGUUAUUAAUUUUGGCAAUUAUAAUGUUACAUGCACUGACAAUUCUUAUUUUCUGUAUCUACUGAUCUUUGUUACAAACAAAAAAUGGAAACAGAUAAAUGAAAAUGAUGCACCAGAAAGAUAAGUCAUCCUCUGUGGCUCUCAUAUAUCACAUGGCAUUUUUCAAUAGAAACAUGUGAGAAGCAAGACACUACAGUGCUUUCAUAACAGUUUACAGUGUAUCUCAGUGAGGCAGUUUUUAAACUGCAUGUUUAGUUUAAAUGUAAAUCA
RNAcentral lists this long non-coding RNA (1069 nucleotides) under Homo sapiens (human). RNAcentral's name for it is "HSALNT0087549". The record is from RNAcentral. Lineage: Eukaryota; Metazoa; Chordata; Mammalia; Primates; Hominidae.